CCACUACAGUGCCCAGCCCACCAGACAGUGAGCUGGUCCACUCAGCUGAUCCACUGAGUGGACCAGAAGAGGGGAGGAAGGAUAUGUCUCCUCUAGAGGUGCAUCAGGAUCUUUGGGUUUUCAGAUAGAGACACCAGUGUGAAGUGGGGCUGCAUUUUUCAUGAUGCUUUCAAGGAUUUCAAGUUUCCAAAGUAACAACUGUGCAUCUUCUCCUCCGGUUAGCAAAGAAUCAUCCUGCAUAUUCCAAGA
This is a long non-coding RNA of Zalophus californianus (California sea lion), 249 nucleotides long. RefSeq lists it as uncharacterized. The transcript is spliced from 3 exons. The record is from RefSeq and is a predicted model, not a curated record. NCBI's taxonomy places the organism in Eukaryota, Metazoa, Chordata, Mammalia, Carnivora, Otariidae.